Molecule: ribosomal RNA, 253 nt
Filed under: uncultured bacterium
Lineage: Bacteria
Description: partial 16S ribosomal RNA
Rfam family: Bacterial small subunit ribosomal RNA
Source: RNAcentral
GACAGAGGGGGCAAGCGUUGUCCGGAAUUACUGGGCGUACAGCGCACGCAGGUGGCAUGGCAAGUGUGGUGUGAAAGCCCCGCGCUUAACGCGGGGAGGCCAGCACAGACUGCCACGCUCGAGGGAUGCAGAGGGUAGUGGAAUUGCCGGUGUAGUGGUGAAAUGCGUAGAGAUCGGCAGGAACACCAAGGACGAAGGUAGCUACCUGGGCAUCACCUGACACUCAUGUGCGACAGCGUGGGGAGCCAACCGG